Hippocampus comes (tiger tail seahorse) is the source of this 938-nucleotide long non-coding RNA. RefSeq lists it as uncharacterized. The transcript has 2 exons. The record is from RefSeq and is a predicted model, not a curated record. NCBI's taxonomy places the organism in Eukaryota, Metazoa, Chordata, Actinopteri, Syngnathiformes, Syngnathidae.
GAGGAGGUUUCACCUCACUUUGAUGCAAGGACAUUUGUAGUUUUUUUUUUUUUUUGAAUCACUUUUCCUCACAGCCAGUGGCUUUGAAAUACAUGAAUGUAAUGUUUAUCAGGAGCUUUCAAGGACCAGCGAAAGGUAAGCUUAUCCUCGACUGGUUGCAGCCUCAACAAGGCUCAGUGUGCAAUCUGUCAUAUGCAUCCUUGACUUUUUGAGGUUUAGUUGGUAGCUGAAGGUAUAUUUUAGUGGACAAAGCCUUCUUGGCUUAAAUUGUGGCUACGGGUGGGUGAACAUGUUUUCAAAUUUGUUUUGACUUUGUCUUGCAUGAUGCUAAUUGUUUUGCUAUACAUUAUGUGUUGAAAGUAUACAUUGCCUAAACAAUGAUGUAUAAUCAACUGGAGAUUUAAACAACUGUAUCAAGCCUAUUUUGAAAUCGACCUCGGGGACAAAUUGAUAAACCAUGCCCCCCCCCCCCACCAUAUAAAAACAGGAGCACUUCAAGAAAACAUAAUGAGAUAUUUGGAAUCUACACUCGAAACUAGCCUAGAAAAUGUUGUCAGCUACUCUGUGGAUGUAUUUUUGUUUUAUUUUGACCAGUGUGAUAUAUGAUAUAUUGUAAUUAUUAAGUUCACAGUCUGCAUGUGUUGUUGCACCGUUUGUGUUACAAUAUCAGUUGUACAAAGGUGACUCCCGCAAUAUCGAUGUUAGUUUCGUAGCCCAUCUAUGGCGGUCACCAUUAUGUAUUAGCAUGAGGCGAAUGGACUUUUGGAAGACAAAGUGAUGUGGUUUGUUGAAAUAUGAUGCACUUUCGCAAAUGUCCUAUUUUUGCUUUCAGGACAAAAAAAAAAAAGUCACCCUGAGAAACUUUUAAUUUGGGGCACUUGUAGGGCGAAUGAUCGCUUGUAUUUGUUUGUCCUGUACAAUGUCCUGUUCCAUUCAAA